This 393-nucleotide ribosomal RNA is filed under the name uncultured bacterium. Its description in RNAcentral is "partial 16S ribosomal RNA". It matches the Rfam family "Bacterial small subunit ribosomal RNA", at positions 523 to 918 of the family's 1533-position model. The record is from RNAcentral.
AUACGGAGGAUGCGAGCGUUAUCCGGAUUUAUUGGGUUUAAAGGGUGCGUAGGCUGUGCGUUAAGUCAGGGGUGAAAUGCCGUCGCUCAACGACGGAGCUGCCCUUGAUACUGGCGUGCUGGAGUACGGAUGCCGUUGGAGGAAUGAGUGGUGUAGCGGGGAAAUGCUUAGAUAUCACUCAGAACACCGAUUGCGAAGGCAUCUGACGAAUCCGUCACUGACGCUGAGGCACGAAAGCGUGGGGAUAGAACAGGAUUAGAUACCCUGGUAUUCCACGCCGUAAACGAUGAUGACUAACCGUCGGCGAUAGACAGCCGGUGGCCAAGCGAAAGCGAUAAGUCAUCCACCUGGGGAGUACGUCGGCAACGAUGAAACUUAAAGGAAUUGACGGGG